AAUGCCUGAUGAGGGCACUUUCUCAGCAUUUCCUUGUAUCGUUUUUAGGUUUCAUAGAGUGAUUCACCAUCUUUCUAGAAGAAAGAGUUUAUAUCAUUUCGUAACU
Molecule: small nucleolar RNA, 106 nt
Organism: Arachis duranensis
Lineage: Eukaryota; Viridiplantae; Streptophyta; Magnoliopsida; Fabales; Fabaceae
Source: RefSeq, a predicted model, not a curated record